CAUGAAGCUGCGAGUGAAAUCUUCUUCCAAGUCACUGCAUUCAAAGGGAUCCUCUGGUGAAGGAGACUUCUGCUUUGGGGAAAGAGGUGGAAGGAAGCAUCCCUCACUGGACAAGACCUUCAGCCGGCAUUUCCAGGAACAUGCUCCCUACUGAGUAGGCACAUCGCCUACUAAGCACAGGUCCCUGCGGCUCACCUGGACCCUGGCUUUGGAGAGAUCCGCUUCCUUCAGCCCACAGCUCUUCUCCCUGCUCCAGCUGGAAAAUCACAUCUGACUGGCAAUGUUGGUACCCUGGUCAUUGAAAAAAGGUACAUGGAUUUUGAAUUCUGUGCUGAUAAAAGUCCUCUCCUUCCCCGAAGCUAGUAAUUAUCAAGUCCAGGACAGGCUACUGAGGAAGGACAAGGACAACACUGAAGUUCACCCCAGGCACAACUUGGAUAGAAAAGAACACUGACAUCCAGACAGUGUGUUCACAACAGUGAAGACCUCUGGAUGCUGAUGUCUGUGCCCAAAGCUCAAAGAACGCCAGUCAGUCAGUCUGCAUUACACACUGAAUAUCUCCAGAGUGGGUUGAAUAUUAUUUUCAAACAGACACCAAUAAACAUAAGCUCUACAAGAAUAACCAAGUUCUAUUGUUUUCAUUAGUCUGCUUUCAACUCUUGCCACAGUGACUAGAGCAGAAUAAUUAUUUAGAAAAUGUUUAAUCAGCUUAUUUCUACAUUCAGAAAUACUGAGUUCCCAGUUUUCUUUGUGUUAGAGACUGAGUAGCAACAAAGACAUUAAAUUGUGGCUAAGAUUACAUUCUAGUGGGGUGACAAACUAGAUGGAGCAAAAUACAAAGAAAUAACUUAUUUUUCAAGGAAGGUCUAUGAAAGAUUCAGGGAAGAGUGUGGAGUGGGUAUGUCGAAGCUAUUCCAGAUCCCUGUGGACGGACGGACUGACUACCUCCCGACCCACCCAUCUGUAUACGUAUACAUACGUACAGAUACACACAUACGUACUGGCAGACUCACCCAGGGAGACCAGAUGACGUAUGUUUUCCAGCAUCACAUCUCUGAACAGCUUUCGCUGGGAUGCAUCCAGUAGGGCCCACUCUUCCUGGGUGAAGUCUACAGCUACAUCUUCAAAUGUCACUGAUUCCUGAAACAUCAUGGAUAUUCCGGUUUAGACCGAGCACUCCCAACAGGCAUCCAGAGUAGGAGGGUUGAACUGACAGCUCUGAGGAAGGGGGUGGAGGCGCCGGGUGUGUCGAAAGAUCAAACUGAACGUGGGGUUCCGUCAGCUCAUUCUCACUACCGAAUUGGCAGCUGCCUUUCAGAUUCAUCACAGAGAUACAUCCAGUCUGAAGCAAUAAAACUUCUUUAUAAGGGGGUAUCACGUGAAGUGUGACAUAAUAUUACCUGGAACUUUAAAAAAAACAACAACAACUGGUAUUUCUAGGGGCUCCUGGCUGGCUCAGUCAGUAAAGCAGGUGACUCUUGACCUCUGGAUUGUGAGUUCAAGCCCCACACUGGGUGUGAAGCCUACUUACAAAAGUAAAUACAUAAAAUAAAGACAAAGUCUAAAAUAAAAACUGGUAAUGAUGGUUUCUGAUAUGUGAUUAUAAAACUGGCACUUGAAAAUUAAUAACUAAAACUCACUUUCUGGUAAUUUCAAGUAACUUGACCAACUCACUGUAAGGCAAACAAUAACCGUGACUUGUCUCUUUAAACCAUGACGCCAUUCCCAUAGGUAAACAUUUAAUAAACUGUUACAAGUACUGGAAGAUCUGAUAAACUAAUGUAUGGAAGUUCUUCCUAUCUAAGUAAACGUGUAUUAAAUGUAAGCCAUUUGCCUGUUACUCCUUACAUUGUCCCAAGAACCUUGAAACCGUCUCUAGCAUUCUUCAAAAAUGAACAGGUUUCAUAAAUAACUUGGUAAAAAUAGUGUCGUCUCGCUCAUCUCUAUGGGACGCAGAUAUUCAUAAUAAAGGACAAGGUCAGAAGGCUCAGCAGCAAAGCCAGGGACCUCUGAGACGGCUGUGCUGGGGGACAGUCCUGGCCUGACCGGUUCUGUGCCAUGAGGACUCCCAAUCCCAAUCUUCUCUGGGACCUCAGACACCAGUUAUCACCGUCUCCUAUCUGGUCCUUCUGCUAAAGGAUAACAGAAGUCUCUUGACUGGUUUUGGUUUAUUUAAUUCUUAAAAAGUUUCUGCAGGAUCUUAAAUUGUACUCUACUCCCUUGUCCUGAGUAUAUAGCCACAGUUAUGGAAAUAAUACUCUCUAUACACUAAUUGCAGCUAAGAAAUAUUUUCUUAAAAGGUUAAUUAAUUACAGUAAGGCAAAAUGUGUGACUGGGAACAUGAAUGAUAGUGAAAAGUUAGUUCUCUUUUUAAGAAGUUUCCAAAAGUACAAAUACACUCUAUCAAAACUUUAAAACUGGACAGAAUGAGUGACUCUUCAUGCCUUUUCUGGCCUAAACUUUUCUCGUGCUCCUUUCACACCCAAAGACCCCAACCAGGACCUGUAACACUGGACUGUCAGAACCCACCUCCCUACUGGACUACAGUGUUGCCCUCCUGGCUCAUCUCUUCAUCACAACCCUUUACAAAGGACCAUUAUAGCCAACAGCGUGAUUAAGAAAGGAAUCCUUUCCCGGUAAGGAUAUGGACUAAGUUAGAGAAAGAAAACUUCUUUCUUCUUUUCUGUAAAUACAUAAGCUUAAUGGAGGCGAGAGUAAACUAGUGUGAGGUGGAAAGGUUAUUAGUUACUGAGGAGUUCCUGACCCAUUAGAACCAUCCCAGAGUCCUGGGGAAAUUUCACUGGAGCUCGAAUCCCUGAAUACUUCCUGACUGCACCUGGAAUAUCUGUGCCAAUGGGAAAAUCCCGCCCGUCAGAUGGCACAAGGGUAUAAGAGGAAAGAGUUGAUCCCCACUCACCAGUGGCUGCAUUGUCAAUAACCCAGGUGCAGGUGUCUUUCUCUGGGUCCUCGCUCACUGGCAGUCCAAGCACUAAGCAGGCAAAGCUGAGGACGGAGAAAGAAGCCAUGAGAUGCAGUCCUGCACAUAAUGUCCAGUCUAAACUGUCAUGAAGCCCUAAACCUUCACCUGGAUGUGACACUCCCCACCCAGCCCCACCAACCUGCAGCGCACUCUACAAGAAAUGCAGAGGACUCGCCUCCUCUCCCGUGGUCUAAAGUUAAGAAGACUGACUACAGUUGCUAAA
Molecule: long non-coding RNA, 3203 nt
Organism: Neofelis nebulosa (Clouded leopard)
Lineage: Eukaryota; Metazoa; Chordata; Mammalia; Carnivora; Felidae
Exons: 3
Source: RefSeq, a predicted model, not a curated record